AACGAACGCUGGCGGCAGGCCUAACACAUGCAAGUCGAGCGAGGACUUCGGUCCUAGCGGCGGACGGGUGAGUAACGCGUGGGAACGUGCCCUUUGCUUCGGAAUAGCCCUGGGAAACUGGGAGUAAUACCGGAUGAGCCCUUUGGGGGAAAGAUUUAUCGGCGAAGGAUCGGCCCGCGUUGGAUUAGGUAGUUGGUGGGGUAAUGGCCUACCAAGCCGACGAUCCAUAGCUGGUUUGAGAGGAUGAUCAGCCGCACUGGGACUGAGACACGGCCCAGACUCCUACGGGAAGCAGCAGUGGGGAAUCUUAGACAAUGGGGGAAACCCUGAUCUAGCCAUGCCGCGUGAGCGAUGAAGGCCUUAGGGUUGUAAAGCUCUUUCAGCUGGGAAGAUAAUGUCGGUACCAGCAGAAGAAGCCCCGGCUAACUCCGUG
RNAcentral lists this ribosomal RNA (433 nucleotides) under uncultured bacterium. RNAcentral describes it as "partial 16S ribosomal RNA". It matches the Rfam family "Bacterial small subunit ribosomal RNA", at positions 29 to 507 of the family's 1533-position model. The record is from RNAcentral.